Poecilia latipinna (sailfin molly) is the source of this 1159-nucleotide long non-coding RNA. RefSeq lists it as uncharacterized. Lineage: Eukaryota; Metazoa; Chordata; Actinopteri; Cyprinodontiformes; Poeciliidae. The transcript is spliced from 2 exons. The record is from RefSeq and is a predicted model, not a curated record.
UGGAACCCGCCGGGUCUGACGUAAAGGUCACCGCUCCGCCACGCUGCGCUUCCUGCAGCACUCCGUGACCUUACCAUGACCUUUAGGCUGUAAGCAGCUUCCUGCAGAACCGGACCAAGCAGAACCAGCACCACGCUGAGACUCCAGCAGAAACCGGUUCAGGGUUCUGUUCCACACAGAACCGAGCCAGGAGGUUCUGGUCGUCCUGGCAGGAAGAAGCAGAUCUCCAGUUUAUAACGGAUCAGAACCGCCCUGAGGAGCGAAGACUUCACCAGCAGAAGAACCGGACUGAACCGGACCAGGAUCAAUCAGAACUGUUCUGUUUUUCUGUUUAUUUCUAUAGAUCUGUUUCAAAACGCCUCGAGAUCAUUUCAAUCGAUCAACCAAUCAAUCCUAUUGAUCCCAGCUGUCAGUCAUUCAGCCCUGGACCAGCAGGGGGCGACAGGAGAGGAAAACGCCUUUAACAGAAAGGGACCCUACUGGUGUCAUGUGACUGCAGCAGGAUCCGGUCCGGUUCUGGUUCUGGAGUCACUCAAAGUUCUGCCUCUGUCUGUUUCAGCCGACCAGCGAGGAAGAUCUCUGCCCCAUCUGCUACGCCCACUCCAUCUCCGCCGUCUUCAGGCCCUGCUCACACAAGUCCUGCAAAGCCUGCAUCAAUCAGCAUCUGAUGAACAACAAGGAUUGCUUCUUCUGCAAGGCCACCAUCACCGGGGUGGAGGACUACAGCAAGCCGUCCUAACACACACUCUCACACACACACACACACACACAGCCCUCCACCGGAGCUCCGCCUACUGCCGAACAUGGAGGCGUCUGCAGCCAAUCAGCUGGCAGCUCAAUGGAGACUAGCAGGUUGAGCUUUUAUUUUGAAAGAGUCCUGGAGUUUGUUUGUGUGUGUGGUAGCAGCUCUGACUCUGGACCGUUCUCCCCUUCAGAACCAGAACCGAGCCGACUCAUGGAUGAGCUGCAGCAUCAGAAGCAGCUUGGUUCAGGUCCAGUCUAGUUUCAGGUUCUGGUUCUGUAACUGGUUGAACAUCUUUCAGUGUUUCAGAGCAAAAAUGCAGCAACUGAUCGGUUGGUUCUGAUCCGGAUGUUGGUUCUGUUGGUGCGAAACUGCAGCAUAUCUGUAACCUCAUUAAAUUAUUAAUCCUGAACCAAA